GGCUGACAGUUGUCUUAUCAGGAGACCCAACCUGACUGUGUAAGGGUGACGGACAUCCGCUGGGUGAAGGCUGGCAGACAUCCGCUGGGUGAAGGCUGGCGACUUGUCCUCCCUCCUCCGCAGGCACCGGGGUUCCCACAGAAAGGACCCCCCUGCCAAGUCUGAACAGCGCACUUCUGUCUUCCUUGGGUCUUAUUUGAGGGAAGAGAAGAAAGAACACAUCUGGUUCCGAGACCUCCUCUCUGCUCCGGACCGGCAGCGGUAUUGGGAGAUGUCCCAGGUGUGGUCUUCUAGACCAGCCCCCUCUCCCCAUUCCUGGUUUGAGGACUUGGGGAGCGGGUUGCGAGCCGUGUCUGAACCGAUGACCCGCUAGUCUCUGAGAUCGUUCCCACCACCCUUCCUUCCCUCCCUCCCCCGAUCAAUUAUAUUCACCACCAGCACAUUUAUUUCGCCUGCGAUACGGAGAAUUCAUAUUCAUAUCUUGGUUUUAGUGGCCUGACACUGAUUAAUGUAAUACUCACUGUGACUCCAAGGGGCCACCACCCGAUGAAUCAUGCCCUAUAAAGUUUCAGUUGUCCUUGUCGAUGGGACUCGGCCAGGACGCUCGGAAGCCAGAGGAGGAGGGGGGAGAGGGAGACAGUGAGGUCAGGAUGGGCCCUGGUCCUUUCCCCAGAUGCUGGGGCCUUGGGGGGCCUGAGCCUCCCUCCUGAGCCGAACCCUCUUUCUGGUCCUGGCCCUGGGGUUCCCUUCCCUUCCCCGUACCAGCCGUCCUGAGGUUGCCAGGUAGCCGAAGCAGGGUCAGGCUGGGGCUGCUGAACGCGCUGGCGAAAGUGACGGGGCUACCUGUGACCAGUAGGAGCAGGGUUUUGCCUCUGGGGCAUCCGAACUGGAGGCGGGGAAAGGGGGAAAGGAAGCCAAGUCCAGGGAGGGUUGCUGGUGGGGGCAGCAUAGCACAGGUUUGGGGUACACAGACGGCAGGGCCUUGGAAGGCCUGACCAGCCUCCGGCGCUCUCUGCUCAGGGCCUGGACCACUGAGGCCCCAGCGCAGGGAUGCAAGUCGGCCAGGCACUCAGGCUUCCUGGGACCACCGAAAGCCAGACAGAGAAGGCUCUGGUACCCGCCACUGAGCACGCAGCCUGUGCCUUGUGGGCCCGUGAGGCGCCAGGCCCCAGGGAGCCUCCUGCCUCACCUCUCCACCACUGCCCCCCGCAGGAUGCGGCUCCAGCAGGCUGUACAAAGGGAAGCGAAGGCAUCUGCAGUGUCGCUCUGCAGCCCUGGUGACCCAGCGGCCUUGCCAGUUUGUUGGGGCUCCCAGCUCAUGUGUGGAGCAGAAGGUGGAAUCAAAGCCGUGUGUCUCCUCCCCUCUGCGCAGCCCUCUUUCACCGCCGUGGCGAAUCUCUCCCAGCUCCAUGAACCAAUCAAACAACGGCCCCUGUUUGAGUUGAUAUAUUAAUAUUUACUGAGGAUUUGCCAGGUCGGGGCUAAGUGUCAGCAGAUCGCUAGGGCUGUCCUGUGGGAAUAAUUAAACAAGUCUCGCCGCACUCCAUCCUCCUAACAUCUUUAUUAAUCUUUUUCGUUUUCCCCUUCCCCCUCCUGAAAGAGUACAUUGAAAUAUUGCUUUUGCAACCUUGGAGAAAGGUUUAGACUAAAUAACAGGGAAAACACGGUGUGGGCGAUGUGUUUAGCUGGGUGGGUCUCCGGACCCUCCUCUGGCAGGUGUCUGAGGGGAGGGAGGUCCUGGUGGGUAACUUAUGGCCCAGUCGUGGUGGGUUUCACCUGCCUGGUCUGACACAUUUAUCCUGAACAAUCCACCAGAGACAAUCCUACCAUUUCUGAGAUGCGGGCCACACCCCGGCCGUGCCUCAUCGUCCACUCUGCAGAGCAAGGGGCCGCCAGUGGUGGCUUCUGGGUGUCUGCCUUCUUCCGAGUGAUUAUAGGUUACACUUAGAACAAGUUGGACAAUUGUCUUUAAUAAGCUUCAUAAUUAGUGUCGGGACGCCUCAUUACAAGUCAUUGCCUGUAGCAGUCCUGGGCCAAACAGCCCUUCUGCAAUCUGAUUUAUUUUUUAUCAGGCAGCAGGGCUGUCUGGAGUUUUUGUUUGUAUAAUGGGGGCCUGCACCAGGCCCCCAGUGUAAAAAUACCACCAGGAAAUUAAUUGCUUCUGUGUGGAUCCA
Molecule: long non-coding RNA, 2174 nt
Organism: Bos taurus (domestic cattle)
Lineage: Eukaryota; Metazoa; Chordata; Mammalia; Artiodactyla; Bovidae
Source: Ensembl